AAUCGCAGAUCAGCAUGCUGCGGUGAAUACGUUCCCGGGCCUUGUACACACCGCCCGUCACACCAUGGGAGUCGGUAACACCCGAAGUCGGUAGCCUAACCGUAAGGAGGGCGCCGCCGAAGGUGGGAUUGAUGACUGGGGUGAAGUCGUAACAAGGUAUC
Molecule: ribosomal RNA, 161 nt
Filed under: uncultured bacterium
Lineage: Bacteria
Description: partial 16S ribosomal RNA
Rfam family: Bacterial small subunit ribosomal RNA
Source: RNAcentral